UACGGAGGGAGCGAGCGUUGUCCGGAAUUACUGGGUGUAAAGGGAGCGUAGGCGGGGAUGCAAGUUGGGUGUCAAAACUACCGGCUCAACUGGUAGUCGCACUCAAAACUGCAGCUCUUGAGUGGAGUAGAGGCAGGCGGAAUUCCUAGUGUAGCGGUGAAAUGCGUAGAUAUUAGGAGGAACACCAGUGGCGAAGGCGGCCUGCUGGGCUUUUACUGACGCUGAGGCUCGAAAGUGUGGGGAGCAAACAGG
This 252-nucleotide ribosomal RNA is filed under the name uncultured bacterium. Its description in RNAcentral is "partial 16S ribosomal RNA". It matches the Rfam family "Bacterial small subunit ribosomal RNA", at positions 524 to 776 of the family's 1533-position model. The record is from RNAcentral.